Molecule: ribosomal RNA, 565 nt
Filed under: uncultured bacterium
Lineage: Bacteria
Description: SSU rRNA
Rfam family: Bacterial small subunit ribosomal RNA
Source: RNAcentral
CAGCUAGUUGGUGAGGUAACGGCCCACCAAGGCGACGAUCAGUAUCCGGCCUGAGAGGGCGGACGGACACACUGGGACUGAGACACGGCCCAGACUCCUACGGGAGGCAGCAGUGGGGAAUUGUUCGCAAUGGGCGCAAGCCUGACGACGCAACGCCGCGUGGAGGAUGAAGAUCUUCGGGUCGUAAACUCCUUUCGAUCGAGACGAAUGGCUUCCGGGUGAACAAUCCGGAAGAGUGACGGUACCGAGAGAAGAAGCCCCGGCUAACUCCGUGCCAGCAGCCGCGGUAAUACGGGGGGGGCAAGCGUUGUUCGGAAUUACUGGGCGUAAAGAGCUCGUAGGCGGUUUGUCGCGUCUGCUGUGAAAACUCGGGGCUUAACUCCGGGCCUGCAGUGGGUACGGGCAGACUAGAGUGCGGUAGGGGAGACUGGAAUUCCUGGUGUAGCGGUGAAAUGCGCAGAUAUCAGGAGGAACACCGGUGGCGAAGGCGGGUCUCUGGGCCGUAACUGACGCUGAGGAGCGAAAGCGUGGGGAGCGAACAGGAUUAGAUACCCUGGUAGUCCAC